GCCGGCCGGCAGGGUCAUGUGUGCGCGCGGUGACAGAAGAGAGUGAGCACACGGCCGGGCGGGACGGCACCCGGCGGAUUGGUGCCGUCGCGGCCGCGUGCUCACUGCUCUGUCUGUCACCUUUGCCCAGAAGGCCGCCUCUUCACGGACA
Molecule: non-coding RNA, 151 nt
Organism: Brachypodium distachyon (stiff brome)
Lineage: Eukaryota; Viridiplantae; Streptophyta; Magnoliopsida; Poales; Poaceae
Source: RefSeq, marked provisional